GACGAACGCUGGCGGCGUGCUUAACACAUGCAAGUCGAACGGAAAGGCCCUGCUUUUGUGGGGUGCUCGAGUGGCGAACGGGUGAGUAACACGUGAGUAACCUGCCCCUGACUUUGGGAUAACUUCAGGAAACUGGGGCUAAUACCGGAUAGGAGCUCCUGCUGCAUGGUGGGGGUUGGAAAGUUUCGGCGGUUGGGGAUGGACUCGCGGCUUAUCAGCUUGUUGGUGGGGUAGUGGCUUACCAAGGCUUUGACGGGUAGCCGGCCUGUGAGGGUGACCGGCCACAUUGGGCCUGAGAUACGGCCCAGACUCCUACGGGAGGCAGCAGUGGGGAAUAUUGCACAAUGGGCGGAAGCCUGAUGCAGCGACGCCGCGUGCGGGAUGACGGCCUUCGGGUUGUAAACCGCUUUCGCCUGUGACGAAGCGUGAGUGACGGUAAUGGGUAAAGAAGCACCGGCUAACUACGUG
This 468-nucleotide ribosomal RNA is filed under the name uncultured bacterium. Its description in RNAcentral is "partial 16S ribosomal RNA". It matches the Rfam family "Bacterial small subunit ribosomal RNA", at positions 28 to 507 of the family's 1533-position model. The record is from RNAcentral.